RNAcentral lists this non-coding RNA (85 nucleotides) under Pseudomonas sp. LAIL14HWK12:I1. The record is from RNAcentral. Lineage: Bacteria; Pseudomonadati; Pseudomonadota; Gammaproteobacteria; Pseudomonadales; Pseudomonadaceae. RNAcentral also lists the same sequence under 8 other names.
AGUCAUGGCAGCCUACGUGGGCAGGCUUCGGCCUGGCCGGGUUCAAUGUCCUCGGUUUCUCACCCCGCGUAUGGCUGCCACCCCU